ACCCAGCUGGCUCAGUUGGUAGAGCAUGAGAUUCUUGAUCUCAGGGUUAUGAGUUUAAGCCCCAGGCUGCAUA
Molecule: transfer RNA, 73 nt
Filed under: Felis catus (domestic cat)
Lineage: Eukaryota; Metazoa; Chordata; Mammalia; Carnivora; Felidae
Rfam family: tRNA
About the family: Transfer RNA (tRNA) molecules are approximately 80 nucleotides in length.
Source: Rfam by way of RNAcentral